CCUUUGUUGUCCGCGAUCGUUCGACCGUGAAACUUUUGGACGCCUGUCUUGGCGCGUGCAGGUGCGUGCACAUGCAGAUGACGGCGUCCACCGUGGCCACGAGCGUUAAUUGAAACAACAGUUAGAGCCGGUGAAUCAUUUAAUUAAGCGGAUUCCGAACGAGUCGCGCGACGCCGCGUCGUCUGGCGUCAUUUCGAUCUAAUUACCACGCCGGGACUAAGUGGCUCCGCUGGAUUCGCUGAAUGCCUCGCGACGAGCGUCUUUUUAAGUGCCGACGGUUACAAGUGCUAUGUCUGCCUCCGCGUUAUCCCUUUCUCCCUCCUUUUCCUGUAGAAAAGCGGCAAGACGGGAUACGUGGGUUAGUAUAUGAACAUGUAAUUAUUGGUUUUACCUGUUUAGCCUGAUCCGUUCUUUUGUCUGGCUUUAUUUAGGAUUGUGUAGUUAACGCGGUGUGAAAAUUGGUUGAGUAAAUGGGAAUGGUGAGUGAUUGAAUUAUGCGAAAUAGUUUGGUAAAUUUUUGCGAGAGGCGAUAGAUAGUAAUUAGAUAAUAAAUAUGUAAAUAUAAGAUCGUUCAUAAGAAGCGGAGAAU
This is a long non-coding RNA of Apis florea (little honeybee), 589 nucleotides long. Lineage: Eukaryota; Metazoa; Arthropoda; Insecta; Hymenoptera; Apidae. The record is from RefSeq and is a predicted model, not a curated record.